GUCCUCCCGCCUGCGGUAGUUCUCCAGGUGCGAGAAGUUGGUGGAGAACAUGGCGUCGAAGGUGAAGAUCUUCUGCUUGAUGGUGCCGCCGUCCGUCACCUGCACAGAGACAGAGGCCGCCACCGGACAUUUGGCAAGUGCUGGACUCUGGGUCGUCACAGCUGGGGAGGGGAUUUGGGUCCUGGCAUCCAGACGCAGAGGCGGGGGACGCGGCGACCAUCUUGCAACACACAGACUGCCACGGCGCGGGGGGCCCAGCCUGGGAGGCAGCAGGACGGACGACGUGUCCCGGGGCCUGAAGGGCACAGGGACUGGGCCGAGGUCCCCUGCUGGGUCCUUGGGAGGCCCUGGCUCUCUGGGCAGGCUCCAGGCCCAUCCUGCCAGGAUAUUUUAACUGAACAGGGUCUUGGCCGUGAGCCGCGAGGCAGAGGCUCCCUCCACCGUCCGCGGCUCCGACCCCCAGCUCAGCACCUGGGAUGGCAGCCUGAGCCCCCAGGCUGAGGAACAGGAGGGACCCUCGGCUUCCCAAGGCAGAGUCACCGAGACGGAGCCCGCCCACACCGCCGUCCACCUGGGGCGCUCUGACCAGCGGGCGGUGGCCGCGGACCAGGCCUGCAGGGAGGCUCCAGAGGAGCCUGUGCUAGGCGUUCUAGGGGUCCCGGCAGGACACUGUUCUGAACAGGAAAACGUCCCAAUCACGCAGAGGAGGCGGCUUGACCAGACACGGGCGCUGUACGUGGCUGAGCAAAAGACUCCUGCUGGGACUGACAGUGUGCUGGGACCCGGCCUCCAUAAUGCACCCUGGCCUCCAUAAUUUCACUGGAUCCUCGAGACCGCGACUCCAGGCGCUAUGGCGCCUGGACACGCCCAGGGCUGUUGCGUAACUGAACUGGGAGCUGCAUCUCUUCACCCCCAUUUUGCAGAUGAAGAAACUGAGGCUCAGAAGCAAGUGAACUUCCCAAGCAGCAGCGGCGGAGCUGCCCCUCAGCAUGGGUUAGUGGGUGGACUGUGAGAGGCUCGUGGCCGUCACAGAACCCGAGAUUCAGAUCCAGCUCCACCACUCAGCUUACUGCUGUGUGACCCGGGAGGGGUCUCUGGGCUUCAGUCUCUUCACCUGCAAAGUGGGAGCCUACCUGCAAGGUGCUUGAGUGAGAAUUCAGCCCGUAAGAGCGUGCGCACAGGCAGCCCAGUGUACUGCCCGGCACAGGGUCUAAUAACAGAGAAGGAGUGAUCAUUUGGAAGUCUCCUUUUAUCCAUGGGGGUCAGUUCCAAGAUCCCAAUGGUGCCUGAGGCCUCAGAUAGCACUGAACCCUCUAGAUACUGUGUUUCCCUAUAUAUACCUACUUUUGAUAAAGUUGAAUUUGUAAAUUAGGCAUGGUAAGAGAUCGACAACGACAAUAAUAGAAUGUGUGAAUUAUAACAAUGUGAUUAUAUUUAUAUAUAUGCAAGUUAUAGGAAUGUAAUCUCUCUCUCUCUCUUUUGUGCAUUCGCAUAGAAGACCGUGACAACCUGAUAACAGAGUUGGCUACUAACAGGAGGGUAAUAUAUACAGUGUGGAUACUCUGGACAAAGGAAAAAUUCAUGUCCCAGGCAGGAUGGAAUGGAAUGGUGUGAGAUUUCAUUCCCCUGUUCAGAAUGGCGAAAUAUUUGAAAUUUAUGGAUUAUUUGUUUCUAGAUUUUCCAUGUGGUACUAUCAGAUUUUGGUUGACCAUGAGUAACUGUGACCAUAGAAAAUGAAGUCCGAGAUGAGGGGAAGCUACUGCAGCUAGCCCUCAAUCAGUGCUUAUUGCACUGCACGCUAGGUAUUGUUGGCAAACGGGAACUCGUGUGACUGUGUGACAAAAUAUUCCGUGCAUAUUUGCUAUUAUUAAUUUUUACUUAUGUCCAAAGUAGGGAGGUGGCCAGAGUGGGUAGCAGAGGGAUAACCGGAGCUUAGGAAAGAGUGGCUCUUUCCCCUCCGGCUCUGACAGUGCCUCUGCCGUGAAUCCCCCGUGACCCACGACGGAGCUGUCUCGAGAGGCGGGCGGCUGGGCUGUGAAUCCCGCAGCUCACCUUGGCACG
Molecule: non-coding RNA, 2061 nt
Organism: Ictidomys tridecemlineatus (thirteen-lined ground squirrel)
Lineage: Eukaryota; Metazoa; Chordata; Mammalia; Rodentia; Sciuridae
Source: RefSeq, a predicted model, not a curated record